This is a long non-coding RNA of Anolis carolinensis (green anole), 1306 nucleotides long. RefSeq lists it as uncharacterized. The record is from RefSeq and is a predicted model, not a curated record. The transcript has 2 exons. Lineage: Eukaryota; Metazoa; Chordata; Lepidosauria; Squamata; Anolidae.
AUUCCCCGCCGCCGGCCAGCAGGGGUCCUCGGAGGGCGCACACGCACCACUUCAAGGGCUCUAGGCUAGGGAAUCUUAGGUGUCCUCCCAGUCCGUAGCCAAGGGGGCGGGUUAGGGGUUCAAACCACCACCAAAACAGCAACCUGGUUUGCUCAUGAAUUUUCCCCGGUGAACCAAAUCCCCAUGCCAAGUCUAUGAGAAGCAAAAAUUAAGAACUGCAAGCACUAUCUCAACCAAAUUUAGAUUUUUUUUUCAUGUCAGGAGCAACCGGAGUUGCUUCUGGAGUGAGAGAAUUGGCCGUCUGCAAGGGGACGCCCGGAUGUCUUGAUGUUUUUACCAUCCUUGUGGGAGGCUUCUCUCAUGUCCUCGCACGGAGCUGGAGCUGAUAGAGGGAGCUCAUCCGCGCUCUCCCCAGGUGGGAUUCGAACCUGGCAGCCUUCAGGGAGAGGCUGACUACCUAUGAAAGGUGUGACAACAAACCUCCUGACUGCUGCUUCUCCUCCUCCUUCCUCCCCCUGAGAGGAGCCAGUCCAUGUGGUGCCUGGAAGUGGGGCACCUUGGUGUCUUCGUUUUUAGAUGUGUUCCUGGGGUUAUUUUGGGUGCUGAUUCAGAAAAUUGCAUUGGAUAGGCCACAUCAGCUCUAGAUUAUUAAAUAUGGUUUUCUGUGGGUGAGCACUUUAACUGUAAGUGGAAUUGUUGCUAUUAGUGGCCAUUCAGUUAACUUCUGAUUUCCUUUAUCAUGAUGAUGAUUAAAACGUUUUCCACUGUAAAUUAGCAAGAAGUUUUCAGCCAAGCAUGGGUUUUUCUGAUCAGGGCUGUAGCCAAGCCCCCCCCCCCUCUCUAUUUUUCAAAUCCCUGCACCCUCCCUUCUCCCCCUCCUCUUCCGCCCACUUAGAGUAAGGCAAAAAACCCUUAAUAAAGAUUUUGAAAAAAGAAAAGAAAAUUGCAUUGGAUAGACCACAUCAGCUCUAGUUUUAGAUACAGAACAUAUGCCAUCUACCCUGUUUCCCCUAAAAUAAGACAUCCCCAGAAAAUAAGACCUAGUAGAGGUUUUGCUGAAUUGCUAAAUAUAAGGCCUCCCCCGAAAGUAAGACCUAGCAAAGUUUUUGUUUGGAAGCAUGCCCGCCAAACAGAACACCAGAGCAUGCAGGAUCGGUAAAUGUACAUACCAUAGAUUGUACAUGAAAAUAAUGGUAGUAACAAGAAAUUCUUGACAGGAUUCACAGUUUGUCUGGUUAUGCUGGUUUGUGAUGACAACUACUGUACAGUAUAUAAUAAAUGUUCAAAUAUUUUGUUCAAUAAUAAA